CCGCCCCUCGGCAUUCCGCCUACGCGGAGGAAUGACUGCGUGCAAAACCAAUCGCUGCAGGGGAGAGGCGGGGUCAUGCAGAUACUGACCGGGGCGGGGCGGGCGAGAAGGAGGGAAGGGCGUGGCCGAGGAAAGGCUAGUUUACAAACAGUGAGUCAGGUGAUCCCGGGCGUAGGCGCUUGUUGGCGUGCGCGCCGGGAGACUCACCCCUCCUCUGUUUUCCCCUGGUGUGUGCAUGUGUCAGAGGGGUGUCCUCCACACACCCGGAACGGGGUAAAUGCCAAAUAUCGUCUCCCCCACCUUUGCAUGACCCUCGUCGCUUGCCAAAAUCCAGCGUCAGUGUAGCCCUCCACCUGCAGCUCUGACUCGUUUAGAACCCUUUAGGCUGCACUGGCCUCCCUGGCCCCGUCGGCGUACCAGAAGCUCAGGUGGCACACCUGGAGCUUGUAUCCCUGCCUGCUGUUAUCCAGCCUCUCUAAACCUCCUCAGCGAACAGACCAGAAGUCAGAUGACUCUCAUCUGCCUACAGACCACCCCAGAUUGAAGCCUUCGGCUCCUGAUAAGAGUGUUGUCACCCGAGGAGCAAGAAACAUAGGAAUGAAGCCAAAGAUCAGGAGGAAUAAAAGCAAAUAUCACUGGGCCACCUGGAA
Long non-coding RNA from Fukomys damarensis (Damara mole-rat), 650 nucleotides. RefSeq lists it as uncharacterized. NCBI's taxonomy places the organism in Eukaryota, Metazoa, Chordata, Mammalia, Rodentia, Bathyergidae. The record is from RefSeq and is a predicted model, not a curated record. The transcript is spliced from 2 exons.